UACGUAGGGGGCAAGCGUUGUCCGGAAUCAUUGGGCGUAAAGAGCGUGUAGGCGGCCCGAUUAGUCCGCUGUGAAAGUCCAGGGCUCAACCCUGGAAUGCCGGUGGAUACUGUCGGGCUAGAGUCCGGAAGGGGCGAGUGGAAUUCCUGGUGUAGCGGUGAAAUGCGCAGAUAUCAGGAGGAACACCAAUGGCGAAGGCAGCUCGCUGGGACGUGACUGACGCUGAGACGCGAAAGCGUGGGGAGCGAACAGG
This 253-nucleotide ribosomal RNA is filed under the name uncultured bacterium. Its description in RNAcentral is "partial 16S ribosomal RNA". It matches the Rfam family "Bacterial small subunit ribosomal RNA", at positions 524 to 776 of the family's 1533-position model. The record is from RNAcentral.